GAUCAUGGCUCAGACAACGCUGGCGGCAUGCCUAACACAUGCAAGUCGAACGAACCCUUCGGGGUUAGUGGCGCACGGGUGCGUAACGCGUGGGGAUCUGCCCAAAGGUUCGGAAUAACUCAGAGAAAUUUGAGCUAAUACCGGAUAAUGUCUUCGGCCAAAGAUUUAUUGCCUUUGGAUGAACCCGCGUAGGAUUAGCUUGUUGGUGGGGUAAAGGCCUACCAAGGCGACGANCCUUUAGCUGGUCUGAGAGGAUGAUCAGCCACACUGGGACUGAGACACGGCCCAGACUCCUACGGGAGGCAGCAGUGGGGAAUAUUGGACAAUGGGCGAAAGCCUGAUCCAGCAAUGCCGCGUGAGUGAUGAAGGCCUUAGGGUUGUAAAGACUCUUUUACCUAGGGAUGAUAAUGACAGUACCUGGAGAAUAAGCUCCGGCUAACUCCGUG
Molecule: ribosomal RNA, 446 nt
Filed under: uncultured bacterium
Lineage: Bacteria
Description: bacterial SSU rRNA
Rfam family: Bacterial small subunit ribosomal RNA
Source: RNAcentral